Molecule: ribosomal RNA, 488 nt
Filed under: uncultured bacterium
Lineage: Bacteria
Description: bacterial SSU rRNA
Rfam family: Bacterial small subunit ribosomal RNA
Source: RNAcentral
GAUGAACGCUAGCGGCAGGCCUAACACAUGCAAGUCGAGGGGCAUCGCGGUGCAGCAAUGCACUGGCGGCGACCGGCGUACGGGUGCGUAACGCGUAUGCAACCUGCCCCGCACCGGGGGAUAGCCCGCCGAAAGGCGGAUUAAUACCCCAUGGGUCCCGGGGGCCCGCAUGGGCAUCCGGGUAAAGCCUUGGCGGUGCGGGAUGGGCAUGCGUGCCAUUAGCUGGCUGGUGGGGUAACGGCCCACCAGGGCAACGAUGGCUAGGGGGUCUGAGAGGAUGGUCCCCCACACUGGUACUGAGACACGGACCAGACUCCUACGGGAGGCAGCAGUGAGGAAUAUUGGUCAAUGGGCGGAAGCCUGAACCAGUCAUGCCGCGUGCGGGAUGAAGGCCCUACGGGUUGUAACCGCUUUUCCCCGGGAAGAAUAACCCCGAUGGAGUCGGGGGAUGCCGGUACCGGGGGAAGUAAGGAUCGGCUAACUCCGUG